AGUGAACGCUGGCGGUAGGCCUAACACAUGCAAGUCGAACGGCAGCACAGUAAGCGCCUGCUCUUACGGGUGGCGAGUGGCGGACGGGUGAGGAAUACAUCGGAAUCUACUUUUUCGUGGGGGAUAGCGUAGGGAAAAAUACGCCAAUACAGCAUACGAUGUACGGGUGAAAGCAGGGGAUCUUCGGACACUGCGCGAUUGAAUGAGCCGAUGUCGGAUUAGCUAGUUGGCGGGGUAAAGGCCCACCAAGGCGACGAUCCGUAGCUGGUCUGAGAGGAUGAUCAGCCACACUGGAACUGAGACACGGUCCAGACUCCUACGGGAGGCAGCAGUGGGGAAUAUUGGACAAUGGGGGCAAGCCUGAUCCAGCCAUGCCGCGUGGGUGAAGAAGGCCUUCGGGUUGUAAAGCCCUUUUGUUGGGAAAGAAAAGCAGCAGGUUAAUACCCCGCUGUGCUGACGGUACCCAAAGAAUAAGCACCGGCUAACUUCGUG
RNAcentral lists this ribosomal RNA (492 nucleotides) under uncultured bacterium. RNAcentral's name for it is "partial 16S ribosomal RNA". It matches the Rfam family "Bacterial small subunit ribosomal RNA", at positions 29 to 507 of the family's 1533-position model. The record is from RNAcentral.